This 780-nucleotide ribosomal RNA is filed under the name Triticum aestivum (bread wheat). RNAcentral's name for it is "partial small subunit ribosomal RNA". Lineage: Eukaryota; Viridiplantae; Streptophyta; Magnoliopsida; Poales; Poaceae. The record is from RNAcentral.
AUGGAGCCGCUCCUUCUCGAGACACCAUUGGUCUCGGGGGUUUUCUUGACCCCCGUCCAAGGGUUUUCUCAGGUCGGCGGGCCGUCCUUCUCGACCUCCGGCGUGGCGUUGAGCACGGGGCCGAUGCCGCAGGCCGUCGCCGGGGCCAGCUCGUCCUCUGCUCCGCCACCUCUAUCGUUCCCGCCGGCGUUUUCACCCUGGCCUCGGUUCGCUGCGGCUGUGCGUGCUCCGACUGACUGGGAUGUGCCGGGUGGAGGAGCUCAGGUCAUGGCCGGAGCUGAGAGUGCCGAGGAUUUCAUCCCCACGAACAGGUGGCUAAGGACAGUGGACCUGCCUGGCAGGAUCGCCUUCAUGAGCGUGCCUCGUUCAAGGGGACGAUCUACAAGGCAGGGCCACGAGGAGAGAGCCAGGGAGCCGAUGAGAUUCUACCAGCAGAUCAAGAACAACGAGGACCUCGCCAUGCUCGUCAUCCCUCCCAAGUUCGUGGAGGUGAUGAACACCUGGCUGGUGAUCAAGCGCCUCCCGCGCGUGGUCAGGCUCUCGGCCAACAAGCGGUGCAUGUUCUGGGUGCAGGUCCAGAACUUCGAGGGCCACAUGGUGCUUGGCCGGGGGUGGAACUACUUCUGUCGCCGCCACCACAUCGUCCCCAGCGACCUCAUCGUUGUGCGCAUCUCGGGACUCGGACUGAAGGUUCAGAUCUACAACCACGACUCAUCAGUGAUGUGCAGGUACCGUUGCAGCAGGCACAACUGCCUUGGUGGCAUCGAGCGGGCUAUGUAG